AUCAAGAGCAUUUAAUUUGUUUCAUAUAUAGGCCUUCUCAACUGCGAUCUUGCCCCAGAGAAGAGAAAAAACUACACAGAAACCUUAAGCAUUAAGACACAUUAUUGUAACUAAGAAAGAGCAUAACGUUAAUAGUGGCUUUUUCUAAGGUGUAAAAUAAUGAAUUUUUAAGAUACUUUUCCUUAUUUUUCAUAUUUUGUAUAUUAAAUAUAUACCACUUCUAUCAUUUAAAAUAUCUAUUAUGUUUUUAAAAUAAAGGCUUUCUUUCCGCUUUCUUUCAGGCCAGAGGUAAAAGAAACAGAGAAGAAGAGAUAAUAAUUCUAACAGAAAUAUUACAGCCUUUACAACUUGCAUGCAUACAGUUAUACAUUAAGAGACUGAAAAAGGCAGUUUCUUUUACUGCUAAUUCUAGUAGUGAUGAAACUCAGGCUCAAGUAUUCAGGUGACUUGUUUGAGGUCACACAGUGCAUAAAUGGUUGCACCUGAGCUGAAAUAUGAGUUGUCCAACUCUUGUAAGUGCAUGCUCCAUCACAUCAUCCUGAGUCAGUAAUGAGGAUGCCAUUGUACCCUUCAAGCAGCCCUGGAGAGUUUAUCUCUGCAUGCUGGAGCUAAUAAUAAUAAUGUUGUUUGAAGCCGUGAGACUGAGUGAGAUCAUGGAGGAAGUGAAUGUAAAUAGAAAAGGGAAGAAGUCUGAAGACGGAGCCCUGAGACACUCCAUUGUAAACUGGAAGAUGAGGAAGAGCCAGCAAAGGAGACUGAGAAGGGGCAGCCAGUGAAGAUGGAGCCAGGGCUAGAGUAAGAGCCCCUUCUGGGAUGCUGUGACCCCCAAGUUUGAAGACUGCUGAUAACCCCAAUCUACGAAGACUAGCUAUGGAACUUCCUACACUGAGACAACUCCAGUGGAACUCUGAUAAUUAUCCUAAAAUAAGGAGGCUUCUUCAGUAGCCCUCGAAAUAUGUUCAAAUACAUGAUUACAUUUAUGUCCUUAAUAUUGCUAUUAGUUUCUGAUGUUAAUGUAAAAGUUGGGGAAAAAGUGGAAAAGUUAAAGCAGUGCAGGUUAAUUCAAUGCCAGAGUAACUUCUCAGAGGGUGUAUAUUCAGUGUGAACAAUUUUCAACAGAGAAAUGUCAACUUCUGGCCACAACGGCAACCAGUAAAAUGACUAUUUUUACUGUCUUAUCUAUUAAUGAAGAGGAGAUUGCAUAAUAUAGAUGAAGGAGCAUAGUAUUUGCAGGUGGAACGCCUAGCAGGGCUUGAGUCUCAACUCUGCUGCUUUUACUCUAAUUGACCGAGACAAGUCAUUUAAACUAAUAGAGCUUCAAUUUUCUCAUAUCUAAUGUAACAUAACAAUUCACAGCCUUUUACUUUGUAGUUAUCGUGAAGAUCUAAUCGCAGUGAAAUAUAUUUAUAUAUCUGUCUGCUGAUAGAACUUUUGUCAUAGAGGCUAGUCCAUUUUAUGUCAACGGGGCUUAAAUAAGAUCUGUGCCAGCAACUGAAUUACACUAAUGAGUGAGUAAUUACAAAAGAAGCCUGCUUUAUCAAUCUAUAUAAAGAAGAAAGUUACUGAGUAUGGAGGGGAGAUUCUCCUUUCAUAUUGGCACUCAUUCUUACUUUCCCUGAAAUAGAGAUUAUAGUAGUCUACCAGCAAUUUUCAAACUUCAAUUCUGGCCUGGAAAUUGGACAGAAGGGGUCCAAGGACAAUGAACCGAAAGUGCCAGUGAAUGUCUCAGUGCAGACUUGGAGUCAUAGUGGUUAAUUUGCAAAAUUAACUCCCUAUUCAGACUUCAGGCAGUUACAUGUCAACCAACAUCAACUUCGACCCUUAAUCUUCAGCCUCAACCUAGUAAUAAUAUCUCUGAGGUGAAUAAGCUAUGAAGUGGACAUUUCCACCUUCCUUUAUUUUAUUUUAUUUAUUUUUUUGAGAUGGAGUCUUGCUGUGUUCCCCAGGAUGGAGUGCAGUGGCACAAUCUGGGCUCACUGUAACCUCUGCCUCCUGGGUACAAGAGAUUCUCCUGCCUCAGCCUCCCGAGUAGCUGGGACUAGAGGUGUGUGCCACCACGCCUGGCUAAUUUUUUGUAUUUUUAGUAGAGACAGUGUUUCACAGUGUUAGCCAGGCUUGUCUCUAUCUCCUGACCUCUUGAUCUGCCCGCCUCGGCCUCCCAAAGUGCUGGGAUUACAGGCAUGAGCCACCACACCUGGCCCCACCUUGCUUUUUUAUUAAGACUGCUAAUAAUAAGUUACUGUGCUUUCUUAUUAUAUCCCCUUUUGGUCUCUGUUAACAAAAAAUACAGUUGUAUGUAAAUUUUAGUAUAUGACAAUGUUCAUCUCACAAUACGUACAGUGAUAAUAGUGGAAGAGGAAGGAAGGUAAAACUUUUGCUGUGAUUCCAUAAAUGAGCAACGUGGGACACCCUUGUAUGAGUCCAGUGCUUACACAAGCGCCUGAACACAGAGCUGCCAGGCUGGGUGCAUGUGUCAAACUCUGCCAAAGCCCUGAAAGCACCAGUUGUGAAAAGCUGGAAAAAGGUCUUGGCAACCAAAAUUCAUGUUGAUUUUUGUCACCUUUUUGAGCAAAUAUUCUUUGCAGAUCAAUAGUCCAUUGGUUUAAUUUUACAAAUGUUUUCUUUUGAAUUUUCUUUCCUCCCAAUGUAGUUUCAAAAAACUAGUCCAUUUAAAAAAUGAUCCUUUUUAUGGAGUGAAAGAAUACAAUACUCAGAGUGGUUCCAUGCUCAAGUUCCAAGAUGCAAAUUUUUUUAUGCAAGUCUCAUAUUCAAUUAAUAGCCCCGAGAUUAUGAAAGAUCCAUUACCUUCUCAAUUGCAGAUUCAGGUAUUGCCAACACAACACAAAGCAGCAUUAAAAUUCAUGUCAUUCUAUAAUGGUAUUUUCCAAAAUGUACUUUUUCCAAACACUUUCCAAAAUGUACUUUUUCAGGUUGCUUUAAAAAUUUUAAUAUAAAAUUUAACAAUUAAAAAUGUAUUUUAUAGUCAGAAUAGCAGGAACUCUUUGUAAGUACUGAGGGAUUAUCACUAAAUAAAAUGUAUAGCAAGUGUGCUAUAGCAGUAUUCUUCUGUAAGAGAUAUCCAGAGUUAUUGACCUGAGAGAAGGAGGAGAAAUGCAUGUAUGAAUGCAAAGAAUCCUGUUUUUCUUCAGCAGGGUACUGAAAACUAAUUCUUCUUCAUGAGGGAAGGCAAACAACCCUCUCUCUGGUCUCUUUUCUACUAUGAUUCAUUUUUUGGUCUAAGUUUUUUCCCAAACCAAGAGUAGACUCCCUCCUGAGUCUCUAUUGACUUACCUGGCUGCCAACAAAGGAAGGCUACUAGUUUCUUGGAAUUCAUAUAAUUAUAUUUCUGUGGGCACUCAUAAAGAGCCAUCAGCUCUGUCCUUGCACACCCCACUUCUAGACUUGCCUCCAGCCGGGGGUGGUAAUAACUGAAAAGAAAACAUUUCUUGACCUACUCCAGUACCUCAUAAAUCGAAAUGUAUCCCUUCAACUAACACUCAAAUUCCAUCUUAUUAAUAUAACUGCCAAACUAAAUUAAGUCCAAUUUUACUUUUUUGUUUACCUCCUAUACAAUGGAAUCAUAUUUUUUCAUAUUAAAAUUUUAGCAAAUAAUAUGUCACCUACCAUUUGCACCUCCACACGAUGCUAGAGAAUUAAGUUGGGAAAGUCAGACCUCCAAUGCUCUUGAUACAAAUAAGUCCUGACCAAAGAUUUAACCAGAAUGUUCCCUCAGUGCUGCUAAAUAAAUAUUUAUUUAUGUAUGUAUUUAUGUAAUACUUCUCCUUUGAAAAGAGAACUUGAGGUAGUCUCCAGAAAUAUACACAUACCAGUGGAAGAAAAACAGACCAAUCUGUGGAAAUUAAAGCAAGAAGAAAGAUAAGCUGGAAGAAAAUAUAUAUUGAAGCAGUAAUGUUGGUGCCUGCCAUACUGGUCUUAGCGUUCUGAUAGGUUCCUGCAUGUUGGUGGUAAUUUUGAAACAGACUAUCCUAAUAAUCCAGGCAAAUAUAGUUUGAAAGCACAAUUAGUCAUGAGACUACCCAUGUUGCUGGCCAAAAUCACACUGCUGUGAGAGACAGCACAGUUGUUCCUGUUCCUGAGAUGCAUGAGGAAUUUUUCUCAUGGUUCCUUAUGAAGUAGACACUGAGUGAUUGGUAGCUAUUAGUGGGAAGCAGGAUAUCUGGGAAGAAGAGGGAAAAAUGACAGCAUUGCACAAAUUUGAGGGAAUGGAUUCUUUGCCUUUAUCAUAUUUAAUGUAAGCUCCUAGUGAUUAAUGAGUUUGAAAUGCCUGGUCAUCUACAUAUGUGUGCCUGAUUCCAGGAGAGAUGGAGUCUGACAGUUUGUAUAGCAGCUAAGUUCAUGGGAAUGGAGUCUGCUGCCUAAGGCCCUGAGCAGCCUUUAUUGCAAAUUCUGUAGAGUAACCCGCUGUGUAGCAAACAGUCAGGAUCACUUAUUAUUAUUUACAGACUUUCCAAAGCUCUCAUCAAAUAGGAGCCCCACACUGUCAAUUUCUGGAAAUAUCAAUGCUUAAUGCUUCCCCAUUCACAAAGUAUGGGGAAGGUGUUGUCAAUCUGGGGAUAGAGGGGAGACUUGUGCCACGUUUUAGAGGAUGGCACUUUGGAACUUAGGGAUACAGAAGUCUAAUGUGAGGACAGCCAUUUGGCGGUCACCUGUCUUAUUCACAAGAGAGGAAUUAACUUCAUAGCAUCCCUAUUGUUUGAAAAGGGGACUUACUGAGUGCCAUCUAUGUGCAAGCUAAUAGGUAAACAGUAAUAUGUUUUCCAAAAGCAGAUGGAAAUUUUGAGAGUCCCAAAGCUUAUAUAAUUAAGGGCAAAGAGAAGGUUUAAGAAAUUUAUAAAUAUAAAACUAUGUAUAAGACUGCGCAUGUAGGCCAUGCAGAGGAGGUAAAGUGCAAGCUUUGGUAACUUCACAGAAAAUCUAUCUAUGAUGGUGUUCUCCUAUAAUCCUCAGAGUAACCAAUGAUCUGAGUGAAACUCUCUCCAUGUGACACAGGACAAAACUGAGAUCCAAUUUUUGUAGUUGCCAAAUUUUGCAAAUAAAAACAAUGGACUUUAAGUUAAAUUUGAAUUUCUAAUAUACAACAAAAAAAUUUUAAUAUAAAUAUGUUCUCAAUUUUUUUAUAUUAAAAAAUCAUCUAUUGGGAUCUGGAAUUCAAAUUUAAUCUGGUGUCCUGUAUUUUAUCUGGUAGUCUUACCAAUAUUAUAUAGCCUAGUUUUUAACCCAGAUUUGUUGUAUAAAAAUACAAAGUUCAAAUAUAUUUUAUUCCUUCCCUAUUAUAAGUACCACAUGUUUAAUAAUUACUAAGCACAGUCAUUUUCCCCUUAAAUAAAAGUAAUCUUUGCAUUAAAUUGUUUAUUAUUUAAAUAAUGGAAAUUAUAUAUACUCUAGUUCUUAAAAACUUAACUUUAAAUUAUCCAGGUAAUAAUAGUUAUUGCAGAAAAAAUUUAAAUGCAAACAGAAAAGGCAAGCAACCUUUAUAAUCCUCUCUUUCACAGAUGACUUCUUUUGUCAUUUAGUUUUUUAUAUCUUCUGACUUUCUUAUGCAAAUAGCUAUAUAUUGCUUUAAAAAAGAAUCAGUGUUAUACAUUCUUUUAAAUACAAAGUGACUUAAAAAAACACAACUUUAUUUUCUUUGUGCUGGGCCUUGUAUGUGAUGAUAGAGAUUUGGCAAUCAAUUAUCAGGAUUUGGAUGAAAAAAAUCAGCAAGUAGAAUACCAGAUGUGAAAACUUCCCACAGAAAUUCUUCUUCCUUUGAAGUGUGAGAUUAAUGAUCUAUAUCAGACGGUCGGUUGACCGUAUUGCAGUUAGACCUAAUGUGAAACAUUUCAGAUGGCUACCGGAUGAUACAGGUAUGGCUGAUAAAAAGCCCCUCAGAAUUGAGAUAAAUCGGCUUGGUCUCAUCAUUAUCUCAUAGAGCAAUGCAGGCAAAGGAAAAAAAAAUAUGUCUCUUGACUGAUUAUUUGAGUUCUUAUUGCAGAUUUAAAAUAAAAUAAAUCAGUGGGAUUACAUGUCAAAUUUAUCUACCAGAAUUGUCACCUAAUAUAUAUAGAUAUUGGUUUUCUUUCAGAGGAGAGGGAAAAUAGAGAAAAAUGGAUAACUUGUCAUAAAUGUAAAACUUCAGAGAGAACUAACAGAAGCGUGCAAGCUAUGUUUUUACAGGCAAAACUUUUUUCUUCUAUAGAACAAGCCUAUAUUAAGCAACAUCGGCGACUCAACUGUUUGUCCCAGUGCAGAAUUUAGGGCUGCCUUCACAUGAAGCAAAAGGAAGUGUCAAAUAAAUUAUUGGAAAACUGCGUUUCAAUACCUGCAUUACCUUGUCUGGCUAUACAGAGUUAACUUGGGUUUCCUAAGAAUUUUCUGGGAAUUUUUACUGAGUAUGCCUGGUCAAAGUAGAAUAAUCUACAUAAUCACCUGUGAUUGUCCCUAAGGAUAACCUGCCCUUGACUCUAUGUCUGACUUCCAUCUUUGAAACCAACACCUAUUGUUACAAGGAGGAGGGACCAUAUGGUAAUAUCUACAAUUAACAGAUAUUCCACAGUCAAUUCCUUAGUAGAAUAGAGAAAAGAAAAAGUGCUGGUCUGGGACCCUGGAGACUUGAAAUCCGGUCAUGAAUCUAACAAUGUCAACACACAAGUUGGCAAGUUGACGCAACGCCAACUUACACAACUUGUACAAUUUACCCAUUCUUGUCUGGGUGCAGUGGCUCACGCCUGUAAUCCCAGCAUUUUGGGAGGCUAAGGAGGGCAAAUCAUCUGAGGUCAGGAGUUCAAGACCAGUCUGGCCAACAUGGGAAAACCCUGUCUCUACUAAAAAAUGCAAAAAUUAGCUGGGCAUGGUGGUGCACGCUUGUAAUCCUAGCUCCUAGGGAGGCUAAGGCACGAGAAUCCCUUGAACCUGGGAGGUGGAGGUUGCAGCAAGCCAAGAUAGAACCACUGCACUCCAGCCUGGGAAACAGAGGGAGGCUCUGUCUCAAAAACAAAACAAAACAAAACAAAUAACCAAAACUUACCCAUUCUUUAUCUUAGUAUCCUCAACUACAAGAUAAGAUUUUAUUGACUCUUUGAGCCCACUCUUAGGAUUCUCAGCUCUAAAAUUAUUUCAAAGGUUUUUUUUUGUCUUCUUGUAAGUUCUGAAUGCAUAUUUCAGUUUGAAAGUUUACCAGUGCUUCUCUCCUCUGCUGAAAAUGUGCUACUAAGUUUAUAAACACACACCUGUUUGAGAAAUAGAUAAACAUUAUAACAAACUUCUACAGCUAUUUUGAAGAUUGAAAACUAUUUGCCCCAUAAGUAUAAAAAUCAAUAAAUAUAUUUGUAUAUAUUUGUAUAUAUUUUAAUUAAACAUACCUUGUCAAUUAAUAUAUGUAUCUGUGUAUAUAGAUAGAUGUGUGUGUAUAUUUAUAUACAUGAUAUAGAUAGAUAAAUAUAUAGCUAUAGAUAAAGAUAUAGCUAUAGUAACACAUGGAUUGAAAAUGAUCUGAACUAAUAUAAAUAAAAUUCUCACUAGUCCAGUGCUUCUCCAUCUAUCUGAAGUGAAGAGCCACAUUUUUUUAAAGUUAUUAUUAUUAUUUCUAAUUCCCUGGUGACAAAAAUACAAUUAAAACAGCAAGUUGCUAUUAAAGUUUCUAACUUUAUUGACUCACUUUGUAUGUGAAUUCUCUCUUUACUUAUCUCCUAGUAAGCCAGUAAUGGAAACAUAUCAUCAUAGGUCUAUGCACCAAAUUUUAUGUAGAAUGUCACUAGGGCAUAAGAUUACAUGAAAUUUUCAUUUUCUUAAUGUUUUAUAUAGUUUGAUUUCAAUGUAGAUAUUAUACCUAGAAUAGAAGAUUUAAAAAAUUAACAUGAAUUUUGGUAUAAUUCGCUUACUAAAAAUACAUAUAUGAGUAGGAUGAUAUAAUUUCAAUUAUUAAUCUAAGUUAUCUCAGGGUAAAAUUAAACAAGAUAUUUCUUUCCUUUUUGGAAGGGGAAUAUUUGUAUUUGUUGAUAUUUCAUAAUCAUUGGAUAUGUAUUACACAUAUAAUGAGAAAAAAACAAUUUCCAUUACUACAUGAACAAAGGGCAAUGUAAGGCUAUUACUAAGUUGGGUUAACACAACUGGUUCACUUUCAUUUACAUGAACCAUUCUUUUGAUGGAAUAUCUGAAGAGAGAAAUGUGUGUGUUUGUAGUCCAUUCCAGUUCUGGUUCUGUGCAAAUUCUAAUAAAAAUGAAAUGUAAUUGAUCCUCAAAAAUAUGAUUCAUCUAUUUUAAGUCAUCAGUCAACAC
RNAcentral lists this long non-coding RNA (8277 nucleotides) under Homo sapiens (human). Its description in RNAcentral is "HSALNT0162764". Lineage: Eukaryota; Metazoa; Chordata; Mammalia; Primates; Hominidae. The record is from RNAcentral.